Molecule: long non-coding RNA, 5429 nt
Organism: Pleuronectes platessa (European plaice)
Lineage: Eukaryota; Metazoa; Chordata; Actinopteri; Pleuronectiformes; Pleuronectidae
Exons: 2
Source: RefSeq, a predicted model, not a curated record
AAUCUGACGUCAAGCGUCUGCGCCACGACUCCCGCGGGCCUCUCAGCGCGCACCACAUCCUGGAGGAGCUGCGCACCCGAAGCGUUUAAUUCAUCGGAUCUGAGCCACGAGUUAGUUUCAACUACUUCUUGACUGAAGGCGGCUCCGCGAGGCCGAACAAACGCUGGUGGCAGCGUCACUGACGGCAGCUUCGCUGACGGAUUCUUCCCGGGACAUCUCUGCUCUACCAACUUCUCCCUCACCGCGGGAUGUUGUCCCUCGGAGGCAGAGGAAGCGCGCCUGGAUCCGCUGGGGCUUUCAUCCUGUCUCCUCUGCUGAAUGAAGUCUGCACUGAACGUUAUGAAUGAAACAAUUCAGGCUGGAAUCACACGCCAUCUUCCCGGCACGUGAUGUAAACAAAAUUACGGGACCGGCUCGUGUUAUAGUACUUCCUGGUACGUCACUCCAGCAGGAUUAUGGGAGUUGUAGUCCAAUCUCCAGCCAUGGGUCUGAAGCUUCUGUCUCCUGACAACAGUACCUUUCCCAAAGGAAUCAAAGGCUAGCAGGUAAUAUGUUUUGUUAUUCCGGAAACUUUCAAUUAUAUAAUAUAUAUGUGGGUGGAGUGGUCUUCCUCCAACCAAGGGUUGGGGUUCAAUCUUGUGCAGGGUGCUGGGCCCUCAGGUGGGCCCUCAUAGAUGUUGAAUGCAAUAAUUAUAAAUAACUUGUAUAUAUGACUUUCUUAUGACUUCUGGCAUGCGAUGAUUUCGCAACGGACGUGCCAUGUGCUAUAUUUAUCGCAUUGCACAUGCCCGAGUUUCAGGGAUAGGAAGGGAGCGAGAUGGCUCACUCCUCAGCUACUUCCAUCAGCACCUCCGGUAAAACAAAGUUUAUUACAGCUGCGCGAAUAACACGCGCAUGAGGUAACUAACGAAUGAACGAAUAUUAAAUUCGCGGGCAACUAUUUUGUCUUCGGAUUGUCAACUACAAUCUGGUCCACUUUGAGGAAGUGCACCAGAAAAUUCUGGACAUCCUUCAUUGGAUGUGAGAGAGUGGUGGUUUACUGUUGUGUCAAGACACCACAACACUUCUGUGCGCAGCGUUGUCGUAAGGCCUGCAUGAUUAUGGCCAAAAUCAUAAUUACGAUUAUUUAGAUCAAUAUUAAUAUCAUGAUUAUUCAUACAUUUUAGGAACAAUAUAUUUUUAUAGCAUUUUCAUGUUUAAAGGCACAAGAACACUGCUUCACUUCCAUGUUGUGCUACAUUCCAGCUAAUGUACACAUCUUUCAUUAGGUCCUGGGCAAUCGACUCUCCUGUCGGUUCUUAUGGGAAAAAAUGACGUCUGUAAGCAUUGACUCUUCAUUGCAAAUUACAAUCAAUGCAGUGAAUUGUCAGGGACAUGUACGGCUCCAUUGUUGUGCUUGAUCAUUGCUCACAGUAUUUAUUGGACACAUGUCUUUGGCCAAAUGAAAUGCGAUCGCAUCAGUUAUUCCAGUGUGUCUUCGGGAAGGGGAUGGAUACGCUGUCGCACCAUGCAUGGUCGUUUAUGGUUUUCUCUGUUGACGUUGGACAUUGACGGAGAUUCAGGGAGGUAAUGUUAGUUUUGGCCUUGAUGCACUUGUUGUACUAUGGUUUGUGGGUCAUUUUUUCAGGUGGUUAAACAAGGUAGUUGUAUUGCUAUGCGGCGCAAACACAACUCUAAACUCACUCUGGCAUGAUUUGUUCUUGGUUAUCAUCACUUGCCCUAAAUUCCAAAACUACCAUACAACGGUUGAUGAUCCUUUUCGAAGGACUAGCUCCUCGCCUUCUGCUCCUGAUAAUUGAUUUACCUUUCACACGACACCGUGAUUGGCUACUCUCUGUCUCUACUCUCUAAGAAAUACCGGAACUGACUGCAGACAAAACGUUGUUCUGGCUACCGCUGCAGGGUGCGUGCAUGACAACUCCCAUUUUGUUCUCCCUCUGGUGGUUAGCGAAUGUUAGUCGAGAAAGCGCUUGAUUUGAUAUGUAGCAAAGCACGCAUUUUAAAUGUCAAUAUCGCUGACGAUCAUGCAAUUCGAUUAAUUGUGCAGCCCUAGUUGUUGUGGCUCCCUUUGUCACUCUGAGGUCCGUAAAUAGAUAGAUAGAUAGAUAGAUAGAUAGAUAGAUUACUUCAUCCCCGAAGGGAAAUUAAGUCGUCAUAGCAGCCGGUACAUUUGAUUACAAUAAAAUAAAUACAAUAGAAUAAAAUAUUGAGGUAGAAAGAAUAAAAACAGAAACACAAGAUAAAUAGGUAGAUAAGGUGCAGUGGCAGAUGAUGGUAAUAGUACUGAUGAUAUGAUGGUAAUGUUAUUGUUAGAUAGUAUAUAAAAAAUUGUAUAGUAUAUAUAUUUAUAUAUGAUAGUAAUUAUACCAAUAUAAUAGCAGUAUAUAGUAAUAAUAGCAGUAACAGUAUAUAUAAUAAUAGUCAAAUAUAAUAAUAAUAACAGGUACACAUGUAUAAAUAUGUGUAUAUAGACUUAUAUAUACAAAGAAUAUACAAAGAGUAUGAUAUAAUGUAUAGUACGGGUAUAAAUAUAAGUAUUUGGCGAUGCAAUAUAUAAUGUACUAUGAGUGUAAGAAUAUGUAGACCGAGUGUGCAAAAGACAAUAUUAUUGUAUAAAAUGAUGAAUUGAGACAGGUAUAUUUAGUUUAGUUCAGUGAUGGUGGCUCUGACAGAGGUAGAUGCGUUGUACAGUCUUAUUGCGGUUGGGAGGAACGACCUGUAUCGUUCCUUAGAGCAGCGGGGUUGAAUGAGUCUAUGGCUGAAGCUGCUCCUUAGCCUGUCCAGUGUUUUGUGGAGGGGUGAGACGGAUUGUACAUGAUUGCCAGCAUUUCAGGUGGUUUGCUGGACUUAGAGUGUUAAAUUCUGGGGUAUAGGUUGCCAUGUGCCAAGUUCACAAUAUAUUCUCCUACAGCCAGGGCAGUUGGGGGGAACCUCACCAGGCAGUAUAUAUUCUCCCGCGACAAUGUGCCUACAGCGAAUGACCACACCACGGGGGUGCAUGGUGCGCAUCACAGUUUCACAGUUAGCAUAUUCUCCUGCAGGCAUGCGCCUAUGGAGAAUAGCCACACCGCAGUGGCAUGGAACACAUAACAGGCUCACUAGGUAGCAUAUUCUCAAGCAGGCAUGCGCUUAUGGAGAAAUGCACACAUAACAGAUACCGAUUUAUUCGUCAAGCUCCGAAUUUGUGCAGUGUUGGGCGGUUACAGUAUUAGCUCAUCACUCCCAUCAUUCCUGUGUUAGCAUAUGGGGAGUGAUUAAGUUGGAGCCUAGACACCAAACACAAACAUGUUCUAUUGUGAAUAAUAAAUAUCUUAAUAAAUAAGAUAAAUAAUCAAACGUGAGUAGUCUGACUGAAAUGGAGCGAAGCCAGCGAGCUAGUUCUGGCAGGCAAAUCGAGCUGCGCUGCUUCAGUCAUGUGCCAUACAUCAGGUGACAUAAAUCAUGUGACAUAUCAGGUGACAUACUUCACCUGCCACAACCAGCCACAGCACUCAUCCACUGCAUUAGGCGGUCUAUUUAAGCAGAGGGAAAUCCCAUCUGUCCAACCAUACCCGAGCGUCUUGACCCCAUGGUAUUCAUCCAAUUCCUACAGAGCAGUGAAUAGAUCAAGAACCAAUAACCUUAUCAUGUGUCAAUGCUGCUACAAUAGAAAAUCUAUGAAUCCUCAAUGAUGACAGGUAAGACUGUCAUUUACCUUGGCUUUAUAUUUCCUUAUUACUGAAUUGUUGUCAAGGUGAGUCAGAGUAUACGAUAACGGAAGCAGUCUAAUAGGAAAUCUGACAAGGACGCUCAUUUAAUCCUCUACAUGACCUUAUCCUUUCUAGUCUUAGAAGAACACAUGUUUACAACAAGUCUGAUAGAUCUUGUCGAGACUUCUGAAUUAUCAUUGCUAAGAAUAAAUACUGCUUUCUGUUCUUUCUUCUCUAUGAUCAAACGCUUGCAUCCCUCUUCAACCCAUCUGACGACACCCUUGCCUACCAACAAUGGUUGAAAAUGCAUGACGAGAUCUCCUCAAAGCUUCGCCAUCCCUGCCAGAGCUGAGGCCUAACACCUGGAUGCUGUUCCCGCACUCCUUAAGAUGUGGCACCGCUAUGACUGCAACACUCCAUCAUCAAUGCUACUCAUGCUAUGUUGGACACCACAAGAAGGAAUAUUGACUCUCAAACAUCAUCUGCAGCCUUGGUGUUUUAAUAUGUAAUCUCCGCUGCACAAAUCCUUUGUUGCAUGUCAGAUCUCGGGAUCCAUUACGUCUCCGCGUCCGGGUAUAGUCACAGGCAUGUUUUGGCGCGCCUUCAUACCCUCAAAUGGUGACGAUACAAUGCAAACGAUGCCAAGGGAUUCAUUGCACCCUUGCCGUGGCAUACAUCUGUUCCUGUCCAUCCUGGGAGAGGGAUCCCUCACAUGUGGCUCUCUCUGAGGUUUCUACAUUUUCCCCUGUUUAUGGGGGUUUUUUGGUAGUUUUUCCUUACUCUUGUCGAGGGUUAAGGACAGGAUGUCGCAUUUGUUAAGCCCGAUGAAACGAAUCAUGUUUUGAAUAUUGGCGAUACAAACAAAACAUGUGAGUGAAUAAUUUCUAUGUGCUUUGCAGACUGAUUCUUUUAUUGCAUUUCAGGUGGUAUGCUGGGCUUAAAGGUGAAAUUCCGAUGCAUAUGUUGCCAUGUGCCAAGUUCACUAUAUUCCCGUAUAUGGAACCUCACCAGGUAGUAUAUUCCCCCGCAGACAAUUUGGCUACAUCGAAUGACCACACCACGGCGGUGAAUGGCUCACAUAACAGGUUCACUAGUUAGCAUAUUCUCCUGCAGGCUAAUGCCCCUACGGUGAAUGGCGCACACAUAGCAGAUACCGAUCCAUACGUCAGGCUCCGACUAUGUGCAGUGUUGGGGGGUUACAAGUAUUUGCUCAUCACUCCCAUCAUUACUGUGUAAUCAUAUGGGGGAGUGAUUAAGUUGGAGCCUAGACGCCAAACACUAAAUCUGUUGUAAUAAAUAUAUUACAUGAUCAAACGUGAGUUGUCUGACAGAAAUAUGGCGACGCCUGCGAGCUAGUUCUGGCAGGCAACUCGAGCGGCGCUGCGCCAAUCAGGUGUCAUACAUCAUGUGACAUACAUCAUGUGACAUACCUCAAUCUCCACAACCAUCUUAAUACACACCCACCUUAUCAGGUGGUCUAUUUAACCAGAGAGACAUUUCCCAUCAACCCCUCUUGCUCGCACUGCUGCUGCAGUAUUGCUACCUGUUGCUUCAGUCCCUCCACCACCCCAGCAUCCACCUGUAGGCCCAGCAUCCACCUGUAGGCUCCAACGGGGGUUACAAGUAUUUGCUCAUCACUCCCAUCAUUACUGUGUAAUCAUAUGGGGGAGUGAUUAAGUUGGAGCCUAGACGCCAAACACUAAAUCUGUUGUAAUAAAUAUAUUACAUGAUCAAACGUGA